RNAcentral lists this ribosomal RNA (253 nucleotides) under uncultured bacterium. Its description in RNAcentral is "partial 16S ribosomal RNA". It matches the Rfam family "Bacterial small subunit ribosomal RNA", at positions 524 to 776 of the family's 1533-position model. The record is from RNAcentral.
UACGUAGGGACCAAGCGUUGUCCCGGAAUCAUUGGGCGUAAAGAGCGUGUAGGCGGCUUGUUAAGUCUUGCGUGAAAUCUCGGGCUCAACCCCGAGCGGUCGUGAGAAACUGGCAGGCUAGAGUGCGGGAGAGGAGAGUGGAAUUCCUGGUGUAGCGGUGAAAUGCGCAGAUAUCAGGAAGAACACCCGUGGCGAAGGCGGCUCUCUGGAACGCAACUGACGCUGAGACGCGAAAGCGUGGGGAGCAAACAGG